AACGAACGCUGGCGGCAUGCCUAACACAUGCAAGUCGAACGAGAUCUUCGGGUCUAGUGGCGCACGGGUGCGUAACGCGUGGGAAUCUGCCCUUUGGUUCGGAAUAACAGUUGGAAACGACUGCUAAUACCGGAUGAUGACGAAAGUCCAAAGAUUUAUCGCCAGAGGAUGAGCCCGCGUAGGAUUAGCUAGUUGGUGUGGUAAAGGCGCACCAAGGCGACGAUCCUUAGCUGGUCUGAGAGGAUGAUCAGCCACACUGGGACUGAGCCACGGACCAGCCUCCUACGGGAGGCAGCAGUGGAGAAUAUUGGAAAAGGGGCGAAAGCCUGAUCCAGCAAUGCCGCGUGAGUGAUGAAGGCCUUAGGGUUGUAAAGCUCUUUUACCCGGGAUGAUAAUGACAGUACCGGGAGAAUAAGCGCCGGCUAACUCCGUGCCAGCCGCCGCCGUAA
Molecule: ribosomal RNA, 449 nt
Filed under: uncultured bacterium
Lineage: Bacteria
Description: partial 16S ribosomal RNA
Rfam family: Bacterial small subunit ribosomal RNA
Source: RNAcentral